Molecule: unclassified non-coding RNA, 21 nt
Filed under: synthetic construct
Source: RNAcentral
GUGAGUAAAACAGAGGAGGGU